CCCCGCCCGGGGACGAGGAGCGGGCAUCAGGCACAAAUUUUUAGCCCAAAACGCCUAGCCAAGCCACACCCCCAAGGGUAUUCAGCAGUGAUAAAUAUUAAGCUAUGAGUGAAAACUUGACUUAGUCAGGGUUAAGAGGGCCGGUAAAACUCGUGCCAGCCACCGCGGUUAAACGAGAGGCCCUAGUUGAUAAUGCAACGGCGUAAAGGGUGGUUAGGGAGAGCGAUAGGAUAAAGCCGAAUGGCCCCUUGGCCGUCAUACGCAUCUAGGUGUCCGAAGCCCAAUAUACGAAAGUAGCUUUAAGAAAGCCCACCUGACGCCACGAAAGCUGAGAAACAAACUGGGAUUAGAUACCCCACUAUGCUCAGCUAUAAACCUAGACAUCCAACUACAAUUAGAUGUCCGCCCGGGUACUACGAGCAUCAGCUUGAAACCCAAAGGACCUGACGGUGCCUUAGACCCCCCUAGAGGAGCCUGUUCUAGAACCGAUAACCCCCGUUAAACCUCACCACUUCUAGUCACCCCA
RNAcentral lists this ribosomal RNA (526 nucleotides) under Rhynchocypris lagowskii steindachneri. RNAcentral describes it as "Phoxinus steindachneri partial 12S rRNA". It matches the Rfam family "Bacterial small subunit ribosomal RNA", at positions 284 to 991 of the family's 1533-position model. The record is from RNAcentral. Lineage: Eukaryota; Metazoa; Chordata; Actinopteri; Cypriniformes; Leuciscidae.